UACGGGAGUGGCAAGCGUUAUCCGGAAUUAUUGGGCCUAAAGCAUCCGUAGCCUGCUCUGUUAGUUUUCGGUUAAAUCCAUGUGCUCAACACAUGGGCUGCCGAAAAUACUGCAGAGCUAGGGAGUGGGAGAGGUAGACGGUACUCAGUAGGAAGGGGUAAAAUCCUUUGAUCUAUUGAUGACCACCUGUGGCGAAGGCGGUCUACCAGAACACGUUCGACGGUGAGGGAUGAAAGCUGGGGGAGCAAACCGG
RNAcentral lists this ribosomal RNA (253 nucleotides) under uncultured archaeon. RNAcentral's name for it is "partial 16S ribosomal RNA". It matches the Rfam family "Bacterial small subunit ribosomal RNA", at positions 524 to 776 of the family's 1533-position model. The record is from RNAcentral.